UACGGGGGGAGCAAGCGUUGUUCGGAUUUACUGGGCGUAAAGGGCUCGUAGGCGGCCAACUAAGUCAGACGUGAAAUCCCUCGGCUUAACCGGGGAACUGCGUCUGAUACUGGAUGGCUAGAGUGUGGGAGAGGGAUGCGGAAUUCCAGGUGUAGCGGUGAAAUGCGUAGAUAUCUGGAGGAACACCGGUGGCGAAGGCGGCAUCCUGGACCACGACUGACGCUGAGGAGCGAAAGCCAGGGGAGCAAACGGG
This 253-nucleotide ribosomal RNA is filed under the name uncultured bacterium. RNAcentral describes it as "partial 16S ribosomal RNA". It matches the Rfam family "Bacterial small subunit ribosomal RNA", at positions 524 to 776 of the family's 1533-position model. The record is from RNAcentral.